GGGCGGUUAGCUCAGGGGUAGAGCGAUGGCAGUUAUCGAAGAGUUGUGUGUUUUUAAUCUCUUUUCAUGGUAUUGGUAGUUAAGUUUUUUCUUCGGCAAAGCUAUAGGUCGCGAGUUCAAGUCUCGUACCGCCCA
Molecule: transfer RNA, 135 nt
Filed under: Caudoviricetes sp.
Lineage: Duplodnaviria; Heunggongvirae; Uroviricota; Caudoviricetes
Description: tRNA-OTHER
Rfam family: tRNA
About the family: Transfer RNA (tRNA) molecules are approximately 80 nucleotides in length. Their secondary structure includes four short double-helical elements and three loops (D, anti-codon, and T loops).
Source: RNAcentral